AAGUGCACCAUUAAGCCAUUAGAAUCUUAGAUGAAGCUGUUACGUCUAAAGAAAGAAAGAAAAAGUGUCGGUUUGGAAGAAAUAUUCGUGCUUUGUGGACAGAAAAGCAGUUUGUAGUUUGGGUUACGUUUUCAGUGAAAGAAAAUGUUUGGAAUGAAAAAACAACUUUUCUUCUGUUUUUGCUGUUAAGUCAGUGUUUAUUUUGUGUGUUUUAUUGAAGUACAAAUGUAUCCGACGCAAAAAACAUACUCUGGAUAUUCCUUAACGUAUCCCAAAGCACACAAAAUGGCGGUAAAUAUUAUUGGAACAUUUUAAAGCUGAUGGAAUCAGACCAAAAUAUUAAAAAAACAAAGACAUUCAACAGAAUAUCUUUUAAAUUGUCAAACAUAUUAUUCCAUAAUACCCCCUAAAAUUAAAAUCAAUACCAAAAUUCAGUUUCAAUAUAAAUAUAAUCAUUCUUUUAAGACAAUCAAAACCGUGCGGAGAAGACCAACAGAAAAUGGCGCCCGAGUCAGCAGUCAUUAAAUAUAAGAAAAGUCUGCCGCUACUUUAUCACAGAGAAGGAAGACGGGUGAUGCAAAUUCAACCCUUAACAGCAACGAAUAGAUGAUAAAGACAGACAAGGCAAACAAACGAAGAGCAACGAAGACGGUGAUAACAGCAAGAACGAAAAUCAACAAACAAAAAACAACAACAAUGAAAGCGCACUUAGAUGUUGCACAGAUCCUGCAGGAAAAGGACGGCCUUGUGGGGACAACACUCAACGGGGGUCGCUGUUGAAGGACCCGAAAUUAAAAAGAGUAAGAUUUUUUUUUUUUUUUU
This is a non-coding RNA of Penaeus vannamei (Pacific white shrimp), 822 nucleotides long. The record is from RefSeq and is a predicted model, not a curated record. NCBI's taxonomy places the organism in Eukaryota, Metazoa, Arthropoda, Malacostraca, Decapoda, Penaeidae.